Molecule: ribosomal RNA, 164 nt
Filed under: Aidia micrantha
Lineage: Eukaryota; Viridiplantae; Streptophyta; Magnoliopsida; Gentianales; Rubiaceae
Also listed under: 2 other names
Description: 5.8S ribosomal RNA
Rfam family: 5.8S ribosomal RNA
About the family: 5.8S ribosomal RNA (5.8S rRNA) is a component of the large subunit of the eukaryotic ribosome. It is transcribed by RNA polymerase I as part of the 45S precursor that also contains 18S and 28S rRNA.
Source: RNAcentral
AAAACGACUCUCGGCAACGGAUAUCUCGGCUCUCGCAUCGAUGAAGAACGUAGCGAAAUGCGAUACUUGGUGUGAAUUGCAGAAUCCCGCGAACCAUCGAGUCUUUGAACGCAAGUUGCGCCCGAAGCCGUCAGGCCGAGGGCACGUCUGCCUGGGCGUCACGC